Salmo salar (Atlantic salmon) is the source of this 46-nucleotide non-coding RNA. NCBI's taxonomy places the organism in Eukaryota, Metazoa, Chordata, Actinopteri, Salmoniformes, Salmonidae. The record is from Rfam.
CCAAAGGCUCUUUUAAGAGCUAUUCAGAUUGCAAUAAGAGUAUUCU